RNAcentral lists this ribosomal RNA (468 nucleotides) under uncultured bacterium. Its description in RNAcentral is "partial 16S ribosomal RNA". It matches the Rfam family "Bacterial small subunit ribosomal RNA", at positions 28 to 507 of the family's 1533-position model. The record is from RNAcentral.
GACGAACGCUGGCGGCGUGCUUAACACAUGCAAGUCGAACGGAAAGGCCCUGCUUUUGUGGGGUGCUCGAGUGGCGAACGGGUGAGUAACACGUGAGUAACCUGCCCUUGACUUUGGGAUAACUUCAGGAAACUGGGGCUAAUACCGGAUAGGAGCUCCUGCUGCAUGGUGGGGGUUGGAAAGUUUCGGCGGUUGGGGAUGGACUCGCGGCUUAUCAGCUUGUUGGUGGGGUAGUGGCUUACCAAGGCUUUGACGGGUAGCCGGCCUGAGAGGGUGACCGGCCACAUUGGGACUGAGAUACGGCCCAGACUCCUACGGGAGGCAGUAGUGGGGAAUAUUGUACAAUGGGCGGAAGCCUGAUGCAGCAACGCCGCGUGCGGGAUGACGGCCUUCGGGUUGUAAACCGCUUUCGCCUGUGACGAAGCGUGAGUGACGGUAAUGGGUAAAGAAGCACCGGCUAACUACGUG